UAGGGAAUCUUCGGCAAUGGGCGAAAGCCUGACCGAGCAACGCCGCGUGAAUGAAGAAGGCCUUCGGGUUGUAAAAUUCUGUUAUAAGGGAAGAAAGGUGAUAGGAGGAAAUGACUAUCAAUUGACGGUACCUUAUGAGAAAGCCACGGCUAACUACGUGCCAGCAGCCGCGGUAAUACGUAGGUGGCAAGCGUUAUCCGGAAUUAUUGGGCGUAAAGAGCGCGCAGGUGGUUAAUUAAGUCUGAUGUGAAAGCCCACGGCUUAACCGUGGAGGGUCAUUGGAAACUGGUUGACUUGAGUGCAGAAGAGGGAAGUGGAAUUCCAUGUGUAGCGGUGAAAUGCGUAGAGAUAUGGAGGAACACCAGUGGCGAAGGCGGCUUCCUGGUCUGCAACUGACACU
This 400-nucleotide ribosomal RNA is filed under the name uncultured bacterium. Its description in RNAcentral is "bacterial SSU rRNA". It matches the Rfam family "Bacterial small subunit ribosomal RNA", at positions 355 to 747 of the family's 1533-position model. The record is from RNAcentral.